This is a non-coding RNA of Paramuricea clavata, 566 nucleotides long. The record is from the annotation of a GenBank genome assembly. NCBI's taxonomy places the organism in Eukaryota, Metazoa, Cnidaria, Anthozoa, Malacalcyonacea, Plexauridae.
AUCAUGAAUACAGUCGUGACAACACCUUUCAAAUGGGAAUUUCUGAUAGAGAUCGGUGAAUUAUACCAUAAGUUAACACAUGAGAAAUUGGUCAUGAACUUUAUUGUUUUGGAAAUGGUGAAUUUUAUAUGGACAAGACUCAUAUUUGUUUCUAUCAACCUAAUCAACGCAAACAAAUUAUGUCGCUUGUGGGAUUUGUUAAAGGAACAAAUGAUUCAGGAUGGUAGAAAGAAUAGCAGGUGCGUUGUAGUGAUCUUAUUUAUGUUAAUGGUGGGUGCUUAAACGCAAUGCCUUGUGAGAAUAUAUACCAUCCCAUCCCUGCUUGUGUAAUAUGUACCUUAUUAAAGUCAUAGUCAUGAUUAUAAAUUAUCACUCUUCUGAGAAGACCUCAAUGGUAUUUUAUUCCAAAGAAGCAGAUUAAAAUUAAUAAACUUGAAAGAAUUUGAAAGUUGUAAUGAAAUGGUAUCUCAUUUCUGUGCUUUUUAGAUCCUAUAGAGACAGUAUAAAGUGAAGAUGGAAUGCUGCAAACAGUUACUUUCAGUUGCAUGUCUAUAUAUGCAUUAUAU